RNAcentral lists this transfer RNA (71 nucleotides) under Ameiurus melas (black bullhead). It matches the Rfam family "tRNA". Rfam says of the family: Transfer RNA (tRNA) molecules are approximately 80 nucleotides in length. Their secondary structure includes four short double-helical elements and three loops (D, anti-codon, and T loops). Lineage: Eukaryota; Metazoa; Chordata; Actinopteri; Siluriformes; Ictaluridae. The record is from Rfam by way of RNAcentral.
GCGUUGGUGGUUCAGUGGUAGAAUUCUAGCUUGCCAUGUUGGAGGCCUGGGUUCGAUUCCCAGCCAAUGAA